RNAcentral lists this ribosomal RNA (453 nucleotides) under uncultured bacterium. Its description in RNAcentral is "bacterial SSU rRNA". It matches the Rfam family "Bacterial small subunit ribosomal RNA", at positions 340 to 786 of the family's 1533-position model. The record is from RNAcentral.
UACGGGAGGCAGCAGUGGGGAAUAUUGCACAAUGGGCGCAAGCCUGAUGCAGCCAUGCCGCGUGUAUGAAGAAGGCCUUCGGGUUGUAAAGUACUUUCAGCGGGGAGGAAGGCGGUGAAGUUAAUAGCUUCACCGAUUGACGUUACCCGCAGAAGAAGCACCGGCUAACUCCGUGCCAGCAGCCGCGGUAAUACGGAGGGUGCAAGCGUUAAUCGGAAUUACUGGGCGUAAAGCGCACGCAGGCGGUCUGUCAAGUCGGAUGUGAAAUCCCCGGGCUUAACCUGGGAACUGCAUUCGAAACUGGCAGGCUAGAGUCUUGUAGAGGGGGUAGAAUUCCAGGUGUAGCGGUGAAAUGCGUAGAGAUCUGGAGGAAUCCGGUGGCGAAGGCGGCCCCUGGGACAAGACUGACGCUCAGGUGCGAAAGCGUGGGGAGCAAACGAGGAUUAGGAUACC